Phascolarctos cinereus (koala) is the source of this 438-nucleotide non-coding RNA. Lineage: Eukaryota; Metazoa; Chordata; Mammalia; Diprotodontia; Phascolarctidae. The record is from RefSeq and is a predicted model, not a curated record.
CCAGGAGUUUAAACACUAUUACAUCAACAACAUAGGCACCAAAUUCUUUCUUUUUUUUUUUUUAAUUAUUUUGAACCUGACACACAUCAAACAUGAACAUUUCUUUAUACAAAGAAAAUAAGAAAAAAAAGAUUGUAUAUGAUACUGUGAAACUACUACAUCUAGUUAGGCCCUUCUUGGCAGUAUCCUGAAAAUGCUAACUGAGAGGUCUAUGUGACAACUGAGAAGCACAUAUCUCACUCUUGUGGACAAAGGUCACUAUAGUAAGUGACAUCAUGAAAGUGCACUGGCCUGGGAUUCUGGACACUUGGCUUCCAGCCCUACCUCUGACAGUAUCCCCUGUUUGAUUGCCUGAUGAAUUGGACAGCUACAUGAUGCGGUAGAUAGAGUUCUGGACCUGGAGUCAAGAAGACCUGCGUUCAGAUGUGAUCUCAGACA